This 200-nucleotide ribosomal RNA is filed under the name uncultured bacterium. RNAcentral describes it as "partial 16S ribosomal RNA". It matches the Rfam family "Bacterial small subunit ribosomal RNA", at positions 28 to 241 of the family's 1533-position model. The record is from RNAcentral.
AAUGAACGUUGGCGGCGUGGAUUAGGCAUGCAAGUCGGACGGGCCGCAAGGCCAGUGGCGUAAGGGUGAGUAAGGCGACGGCAAUCCACCCCACGGUUGGGGAUAGCCGCGAGAAAUCGCGGGUAAUCCCCAGCGACGCGCGGCGUCGGCAUCGACGCCCCGCCAAAGGCUCGCCGCCGUGGGACGAGCCGUCGUGGUAU